RNAcentral lists this transfer RNA (76 nucleotides) under Desulfuromonadales bacterium. RNAcentral's name for it is "tRNA-Asn". It matches the Rfam family "tRNA". Rfam says of the family: Transfer RNA (tRNA) molecules are approximately 80 nucleotides in length. Their secondary structure includes four short double-helical elements and three loops (D, anti-codon, and T loops). The record is from RNAcentral. RNAcentral also lists the same sequence under 2 other names. Lineage: Bacteria; Pseudomonadati; Thermodesulfobacteriota; Desulfuromonadia; Desulfuromonadales.
UCCCCGAUAGCUCAGUUGGUAGAGCAGCGGACUGUUAAUCCGCUUGUCGCUGGUUCGAGUCCAGCUCGGGGAGCCA